AAGUCUUUCAACCUGAUUUUCCUUUUUGAUUGUUGCAAGCUUAUCUAUUUUCUGCUAGUAGAUUUCUUUUCUGAAACUAGACCUGGGCCUGCUGUGAUUGGGUUUCAGAGACCACUGAGAUGCAUCGCCUCUGGAACUGCUGAGUCCCGGGAGGAUGGGGUUAGUCCACCUGCCUGAAAGGAAUUCACCAUGGAAACCACAGAACAGGAAAAAAAUGAGUGCGAAGGAAGCAAAUCAAAAUCAGUGUAAACUCUUGAACACAGGGGCUUUGUAACACCUCCUCCGGUUGCCUCCCUAGAUUUCGUCUGAUUUUGAGAUCAGAAGACUGAGGCUUAUGAAAGUCAAGUUACUGGCCCAAGCUCACCCAGCUAGAAAGAGUAACGCUGAGAUUCUCACUCACACUCAAUCGGGCGUAGCCAUCGCUGCUCUCGACUCUCCCCAGGCUGCCUCCCAAUGUGCUGUCAUGAUGCUGAGCAGGUGGUUGGUGUCUCAGGAGAUGACCCAGGAUCCAUGGUCAGAAGACCUGCGUUCCCGCCCCUGCUCUGCCGGUCUGUAGGACGUGACCAGUGCAUCAGGCUGCUCUCUUGCCCGUUACCCGUAAAAUGGGGAAAAUUAGACAUACUGCAAAGGACCACUGUAAGAAUUAAACCCGUUUUCCAAGCAGAGGACUUGGCAUAUAAUAGGUGCUCAAUU
Molecule: long non-coding RNA, 693 nt
Filed under: Equus asinus (donkey)
Lineage: Eukaryota; Metazoa; Chordata; Mammalia; Perissodactyla; Equidae
Description: lncRNA (ENSEASG00005026162.1)
Source: RNAcentral